UACGGAGGGUGCAAGCGUUACUCGGAAUCACUGGGCGUAAAGGGCGCGUAGGCGGCCUAGCAAGUCUGGUGUGAAAGCCCAGGGCUCAACCCUGUAAGGGCACUGGAAACUGUUAGGCUUGAGUUCCGGAGAGGAGGGGGGAAUUCCCGGUGUAGCGGUGAAAUGCGUAGAUAUCGGGAGGAAUACCGGUGGCGAAGGCGCCCCUCUGGACGGAAACUGACGCUGAGGCGCGCAAGCGUGGGGAGCAAACACG
This 253-nucleotide ribosomal RNA is filed under the name uncultured bacterium. RNAcentral's name for it is "partial 16S ribosomal RNA". It matches the Rfam family "Bacterial small subunit ribosomal RNA", at positions 524 to 776 of the family's 1533-position model. The record is from RNAcentral.